This is a non-coding RNA of Lupinus albus (white lupine), 470 nucleotides long. NCBI's taxonomy places the organism in Eukaryota, Viridiplantae, Streptophyta, Magnoliopsida, Fabales, Fabaceae. The record is from the annotation of a GenBank genome assembly.
CGCCGCCUCGACGCAUUCCCUUCUCUCCCCGGCAUCGUCCCACACAGAAAGAAAGAGCGCAGAGCCCCGGCCCGACCUUUAGUGUAGGUCCGCCAACGUAAAGCGAGGAGUUGAGCCUGAACUGGCGAACCGAAGUCACUUUCGGAACCAUACUUCCUACAGCUAACACGUGUCCAGUCCAGCGGGAACGCGCAGCGCAAAAUAACGUAAGCUGCUCGAAUCCCCCGCUGGCCAUCGGGGACCGAGUGGUAAGGCCAUGAUCCGCAGGGGAACGGAUCACUCAUUCUUCCAUUGGGGACAGGUGCACGAACGACAACUCCAAACGUCACACAUCCGUCGCCUACUUACCGUUUAGGUGGCACCAGCGAGAUCCAGCUAAGGUAAGGAACUUCGUGUCGCGGCUGCUCCACUCCGCCGCGGUCUCAUGAACUUAACUUCGUUGCCUUCCCGCGCGCGAAGCGAAUGGGCGC